ACUACUUUUCUUAUACCAUUUGUUUGUUUACCUUCGUUUUUCCACUAUAAAAGAGCGUCUCCGGAAGAUGAGAAAGUAUAUUUUCUUGUCUUCUACAGAGAGUAAGAAAGCUAAAUUUCAUCAUGCAUUACCUGUUUGCUAUCCUUGUGUUGGUUGCCCUGAUGGCAGUGGCCUUCGCCCAGUGGCCUUAUUAUGGUUCUUAUUAUAACACUCCUGCUCUUGCCUAUCCUUAUGCCUAUAACUAUGGCGUCUACAACCCCGCUUUGACCUACUUCUGAAAGAAAUGAACGUAAAAUAUCAGCAAUUUCCUGGGCUGUAGUAGCUGACGAUUGUAACGAAAGAGGAAUGAAAAGCGAAACCAAUUAAAAUGAAAGAUGAUUGCAAUAAAAUUGAUCUAAUUUUUUAACUUACCACAUCCGUUUGCUGUGUUCCUAUUUUUACUUUUAGAAAUAAAACAGUAAUAUAAAAA
Stegodyphus dumicola is the source of this 469-nucleotide long non-coding RNA. RefSeq lists it as uncharacterized. The record is from RefSeq and is a predicted model, not a curated record. NCBI's taxonomy places the organism in Eukaryota, Metazoa, Arthropoda, Arachnida, Araneae, Eresidae.